UACGACGGGGGCUAGCGUUGUUCGGAAUUACGGGGCGUAAAGGGCGCGUAGGCGGAUUUUUAAGUCGGGGGUGAAAUCCCGGAGCUCAACUCCGGAACUGCCUUCGAUACUGAAAGUCUGUAGCACGGUAGAGGUGAGUGGACUUCCGAGUGUAGAGGUGAAAUUCGUAGAUAUUCGGAGGAACACCAGUGGCGAAGGCGGCUCACUGGACCGUUGCUGACGCUGAGGCGCGAAAGCGUUGGGAGCAAACAGG
This 253-nucleotide ribosomal RNA is filed under the name uncultured bacterium. RNAcentral's name for it is "partial 16S ribosomal RNA". It matches the Rfam family "Bacterial small subunit ribosomal RNA", at positions 524 to 776 of the family's 1533-position model. The record is from RNAcentral.